AAUAUUCUGCCCAUGCGAGGGAUGAGAAGCUUCGACCAAGGUUCGACUCGAGCGCCAGCGAGAGAGCGUUGCCGCAGGCAACGACCCGAAGGGCGAAGCGCGCAGCGCUGAGUAAUCCUUCCCCCACCACCA
Molecule: small RNA, 132 nt
Filed under: Escherichia coli
Lineage: Bacteria; Pseudomonadati; Pseudomonadota; Gammaproteobacteria; Enterobacterales; Enterobacteriaceae
Description: RtT sRNA
Rfam family: RtT RNA
About the family: This family represents a bacterial cis-regulatory element known as RtT RNA. The exact function of RtT is unknown although it is thought that it may be involved in changing the cellular response in relation to amino acid starvation.
Source: RNAcentral